This 390-nucleotide ribosomal RNA is filed under the name uncultured bacterium. RNAcentral's name for it is "bacterial SSU rRNA". It matches the Rfam family "Bacterial small subunit ribosomal RNA", at positions 32 to 402 of the family's 1533-position model. The record is from RNAcentral.
AAUCAACGCUGGCGGCGUGCCUCAGACAUGCAAGUCGAACGCGAAAGUCCCCUUCGGGGGACAAGUAGAGUGGCGCACGGGUGAGUAACACGUAGGUAAUCUACCUUCGGAUGGGGAAUAACAACCGGAAACGGUUGCUAAUACCGCAUAAUGCAGCGGCGCCUAAUGGUGACAGUUGUUAAAGCGGGGGAUCGAAAGACCUCGCGUCUGAAGAGGAGCCUGCGGCGGAUUAGCUAGNGGUAAGGUAAUGGCUUACCAAGGCUACGAUCCGUAACCGGCCUGAGAGGGCGGUCGGUCACACUGACACUGACAUACGGGUCAGACUCCUACGGGAGGCAGCAGUCGGGAAUUUUGGGCAAUGGGCGAAAGCCUGACCCAGCAACGCCGCGU